RNAcentral lists this long non-coding RNA (930 nucleotides) under Olea europaea subsp. europaea. Lineage: Eukaryota; Viridiplantae; Streptophyta; Magnoliopsida; Lamiales; Oleaceae. The record is from RNAcentral.
UCGGGGUCAGGAAAUCUAACAUCGCAAUUAGGCAUUAUACCAUAUUCCCUAGCUGCAGCUAUGACUGAGUGCUCUUUAAGCCUAUAGGGUUCGUCGGGAUACUCAAAAACCAUAUUAACCUGGGCCUCGGGAGUAGCCUCUAGGGGAAUAGCCAUCGGUAUUAUCGAGGUCCCUACGUCCUCACUACUACUAAAACUACUAGAAGAUUCUCGACCCUCACUACUCGACAUCACUUAGCAAACUUAAGACUUAGCUUAUGAACAACUUAAAGUCUCGAGCCUUACCUGGAGUUCCCGACGACUUGAGAAGUUCCCAAAGUGUUUUUCUCGAGCACGACCUCGCAGAACUCUGAUUUACAGUGGGUAAAAGUGAAAAAUAAAGGUGAGAACAACAGUAUUUAUAGGUGAAAACGAUGGGAGGCCAAAGGUCGCUAUCUACGACCGUCCACGAAGACACGUGUCACAAAUCCAAGCCACUCUCUGCAACGGUCAUAUCUCGACCUAUAUCAUCAGCCAUCACUUCUCGACGAAGGUUCGAGAAAUGACAUAACCCAUGUGCACCCCAUUCUAAGAGCUCGAUCUCUAGGACGAGUGCACGGGGGCCAGUGACUAUGUCAAUAUUGAUAUACCCCGAGGAGUUUAUCCCGAGGACUCCAUGUAUACCCCAUCUCAUUUCUCUGCUAUGGUCCUCGGGUCUCCCUAAGUCCUCGAGGUAUCGUAGUCCUCGAGAUACCUCUAGGACAUAUUUACAUUCUCUCAGGUCCUGGAGAAUAGUCCUCGAGACAUACGCCACCUACAUGCCUCCUAGGACCUGGGUACCUAACAAACAAAGCUAAACACCCAAGGAUUCUACAUCAACCCUGAUACCGCUUGUCAAACAAUUCCAUUACAAGUAGGACACUCUUUAUAAAUAGAAAUUCUCUUGGAUAAA